GGAGGUGCAGUGGCUCUGUGGAAGAGCAUCUGCUUGGCACGAGGAAGGUCGUGAGUUCAAUCCCAGCCUAUCUCCA
This 76-nucleotide transfer RNA is filed under the name Sphaerodactylus townsendi. RNAcentral's name for it is "tRNA-Ala". Lineage: Eukaryota; Metazoa; Chordata; Lepidosauria; Squamata; Sphaerodactylidae. The record is from RNAcentral.